This 498-nucleotide ribosomal RNA is filed under the name uncultured bacterium. RNAcentral's name for it is "partial 16S ribosomal RNA". It matches the Rfam family "Bacterial small subunit ribosomal RNA", at positions 27 to 507 of the family's 1533-position model. The record is from RNAcentral.
GGAUGAACGCUGGCGGCGUGCCUAAUACAUGCAAGUCGAGCGAACGGCCGAGAAGCUUGCUUUUCUGAUGUUAGCGGCGGCCGGUUGAGUACCACGUGGUUAACCUACCUAUAAGACUGGGAUACCUUCGGGAAACCGGAGCUAUUACCGGAUAUUAUUUUUAACCGCAUGGUUCAAAAGUGAAAGACGGUCUUGCUGUCCCUUAUGGUUGAUUCCGCGCUGCAUUAGCUAGUUGGUAAGGUAACGGCUUACCAAGGCAACGAUGCAUAGCCGACCUGAGAGGGUGAUCGGCCACACUGGAACUGAGACACGGUCCAGACUCCUACGGGAGGCAGCAGUAGGGAAUCUUCCGCAAUGGGCGAAAGCCUGACGGAGCAACGCCGCGUGAGUGAUGAAGGUCUUCGGAUCGUAAAACUCUGUUAUUAGGGAAGAACAUAUGUGUAAGUAACUGUGCACAUCUUGACGGUACCUAAUCAGAAAGCCACGGCUAACUACGUG